UUUUGGUGAGGUGCCUUCCGAGUUCCCUGGAACGGGACGCCAUAGAGGGUGAGAGCCCCGUCUGGUUGGACACCGAUCCUCUGUAAAGCUCCUUCGACGAGUCGAGUAGUUUGGGAAUGCUGCUCUAAAUGGGAGGUAUAUGUCUUCUAAAGCUAAAUACCGGCCAGAGACCGAUAGCGCACAAGUAGAGUGAUCGAAAGAUGAAAAGAACUUUGAAAAGAGAGUUAAAAAGUACGUGAAAUUGUUGAAAGGGAAGCGCUUGUGACCAGACUUGGGCUUGGUUGAUCAUCCGGGGUUCUCCCCGGUGCACUCUUCCGGCUCAGGCCAGCAUCAGUUCGCCCUGGGGGAUAAAGGCUUCGGGAAUGUGGCUCUCUCCGGGGAGUGUUAUAGCCCGCUGCGUAAUACCCUGUGGCGGACU
This 418-nucleotide ribosomal RNA is filed under the name Fusarium falciforme. Its description in RNAcentral is "partial large subunit ribosomal RNA". It matches the Rfam family "Eukaryotic large subunit ribosomal RNA", at positions 163 to 589 of the family's 3401-position model. The record is from RNAcentral. Lineage: Eukaryota; Fungi; Ascomycota; Sordariomycetes; Hypocreales; Nectriaceae.